Tachyglossus aculeatus (Australian echidna) is the source of this 499-nucleotide long non-coding RNA. RefSeq lists it as uncharacterized. The transcript has 3 exons. The record is from RefSeq and is a predicted model, not a curated record. NCBI's taxonomy places the organism in Eukaryota, Metazoa, Chordata, Mammalia, Monotremata, Tachyglossidae.
CCAGGGGCUGAUGGGAUUCUGGUGGUGUGGAAUUGGGCAGGAUUUCCUCACCAACAAGGCUGGCCUCAAGCCAUGGUGGGGAACACUGAGGCAGGGAGCCUAGAGUCCAGAGCAAUAGGGCUAGUGUUGCCGGUCACAGCUCCAGGGAGCUGACAGAAACCUCUGCUAAUGAAGCCGAUCCUGAGGAAACUUCAGGGUGAAGUGAGGACGCUGUGGAAAAUAACCGUCUGCAGCGGCAUGAGAAGGCCGGAAAAUGGCAGAGCAGCAACUCUGCUCCCUGAUGUAGAUUCCUCUCAGACGCAAGGAAGUAUCCACCUUGGACCCUCUGAACAGGAGAUACUGAUGAAAAUGAGAUUCUCAGCCAGAGAGCCCAGACCAGCCUAUUUGGGGAAGUACCUCCCCCUAAAUCAAAGUCUCUCUUGCGCCUGUGGCCAUAUGCUGCUGGAAAAUGAUUCAUAAAUGUUUGGCAUACAGAAGCCAUCUGUAUCCUAUCACCGCA